Molecule: long non-coding RNA, 623 nt
Organism: Schistocerca cancellata (South American locust)
Lineage: Eukaryota; Metazoa; Arthropoda; Insecta; Orthoptera; Acrididae
Exons: 4
Source: RefSeq, a predicted model, not a curated record
GCGGCUGUGAAACAAGACGAUGCGGCCGUACCGCUGGCUGUUGUUCGUGCUUCUAGUGGCCAGCACAGACGGCCUAGACGGAGACGUGAUAUCAGCAACACCUGUCCAGGCCACGAUAAAAGUAAGCCACACAGUGUUUGAUUUGCCUGAAAGAUGCCAGACUGGAUACGUGCUUGUGAACGGGAAAUGUGAGAGGACGGUGACCUUACAGACAACAGGUGUAAAACAGAGAGGGGAAGACGAAGUUUGCUGAUGAGGCAGACUUUAUGGUGCUUACUGAUUUUUGACAUUGGAAAUGGACAACAUGAAAAGCCAGCACAGGAGGUGGAACAUGAUGUAUAGGGAUUGUAGAAGAAACAGACUACGACAUACAGCUAUCUUGUCAUGGAUGUACUGCACAUAAUCUGACACAAUUCUGUCUCUCUUAUCACCUUUCCUAUCGUGGCAUCAAAAAUCAAUUACGGAUGGCACUCCUGACGUGAAGGUUACAACUAGAAAUACACGAAUUCCGAGUAUCACUUGACAGAUAAUGUACUUGCACCGCAUUUUGCAUUGAUUUCAUUUUUAUGGUGGGGAAGCGGUGCAAGCAGAGGUUAGGUUGUGGCUUCGUCAAGAUAGUCAAA